This 923-nucleotide ribosomal RNA is filed under the name uncultured Methanosaeta sp. Its description in RNAcentral is "bacterial SSU rRNA". It matches the Rfam family "Archaeal small subunit ribosomal RNA", at positions 1 to 923 of the family's 1478-position model. Lineage: Archaea; Methanobacteriati; Methanobacteriota; Methanomicrobia; Methanotrichales; Methanotrichaceae. The record is from RNAcentral.
AUUUUCCGGUUGAUCCUGCCGGAGGUUACUGCUAUCGAGGUUCGACUAAGCCAUGCGAGUCGAAUGUAUCAAUACAUGGCGAACUGCUCAGUAACACGUGGACAACCUGCCCUUAGGUUGGGUAUAAACCCGGGAAACUGGGUAUAAUACCCGAUAGGUCUCGAUUGCUGGAAUGCAUCGAGAUUUAAAGCUCCGGCGCCUAAGGAUGGGUCUGCGGCCUAUCAGGUAGUAGUGGGUGUAGCGUACCUACUAGCCUACGACGGGUACGGGUUGUGAGAGCGAGAGCCCGGAGAUGGAUUCUGAGACACGAAUCCAGGCCCUACGGGGUGCAGCAGACGCGAAAACUUUACAAUGCUGGCAACAGCGAUAAGGGAACCUCGAGUGCCAGGUUACAAAUCUGGCUGUCGAGAUGCCUAAAAAGCAUUUCAUAGCAAGGGCCGGGCAAGACCGGUGCCAGCCGCCGCGGUAACACCGGCGGCUCGAGUGGUAACCGUUAUUAUUGGGUCUAAAGGGUCUGUAGCCGGCCGAAAAAAGUAUCUUGAGAAAUCUGGCAGCUUAACUGUCAGGCUUUCAGGAGAUACUGUCUGGCUCGAGGCCGGGAGAGGUGAGAGGUACUUCAGGGGUAGGGGUGAAAUCUUGUAAUCCUUGAAGGACCACCAGUGGCGAAAGGCGUCUCACCAGAACGGACCUGACGGCAAGGGACGAAAGCUAGGGGCACGAACCGGAUUAGAUACCCGGGUAGUCCUAGCCGUAAACGAUACUCUCUAGAAAGUCGGCCACGGUGCGACCGUUGUCGGUGCCGUAGGGAAGCCGUGAAGCGAGCCACCUGGGAAGUACGCCUUCAAAACUGAAACUUAAAGGAAUUGGCGGGGGAGCACCACACCUUGUUCAAUCUUGCGGUUUAAUUGGAUUCAACGCCGGAA